GAACGCUGGCGGCAGGCCUAACACAUGCAAGUCGAGCGGUAACAUUUCUAGCUUGCUAGAAGAUGACGAGCGGCGGACGGGUGAGUAACGCGUAGAAAUCUACCUAGUAGUGGGGGAUAGCCCAGAGAAAUUUGGAUUAAUACCGCAUACGCCCUACGGGGGAAAGCGGGGGAUCUUCGGACCUCGUGCUAUUAGAUGAGUCUGCGUCGGAUUAGCUUGUUGGUGAGGUAAUGGCUCACCAAGGCGACGAUCCGUAGCUGGUCUGAGAGGAUGACCAGCCACACUGGAACUGAGACACGGUCCAGACUCCUACGGGAGGCAGCAGUGGGGAAUAUUGCACAAUGGGCGCAAGCCUGAUGCAGCCAUGCCGCGUGUGUGAAGAAGGCCUUAGGGUUGUAAAGCACUUUCAGCAGUGAGGAAAGGGGUGUCGUUAAUAGCGCCAUCCUGUGACGUUAACCGCAGAAGAAGGACCGGCUAACUCCGUG
RNAcentral lists this ribosomal RNA (485 nucleotides) under uncultured bacterium. Its description in RNAcentral is "bacterial SSU rRNA". It matches the Rfam family "Bacterial small subunit ribosomal RNA", at positions 31 to 507 of the family's 1533-position model. The record is from RNAcentral.